CAGGAAACUCCCUUUGGGUGAAAUGGCAUGGAGGGAGGGAAGGGAAUUCAUCAAUUACUAUCAUUAAAAGGUAGUAAGAUAUCAGAAGGGUUUUCUAAAAUACUUCAUAAGUAUUUUCUCCACUCAUAAUAAAGAAAGUUAAUGGAAAUCAUUGAUUGUAAGUGUCACUGCUCUUGUCUACCUAGCGUCCAUUCUACCUUCUUUCAUAAUGGAACCCUGAGUUUUCUUAGCCUCGUGUCCCAGGGGAAGCUAAUUCCAUCUACAUCUUCAGGGAUAGCCUAGUUCAUUGAAGAUUAUUCCCCUUCCCUUUAAAUUGACAUGUGACCUAAUCUGUCCAGUGAGAUAAAGGAAAGCCUACUGGGAAUCUUCUGGAAAAAGUUUCCUCACUCCCAAGAGGGAGUCACAAAAGAGAUAGUUUCUCUUCUUCUGAGUUGCUGUGCCUGGAGGAGAUGACUGGAACUGCUGCAGUCAUCUUGCUGCUUGCCUGAGAAUGAAGCCAACACCCAGGAUGUUGGAAUAGAGAGGUGGGCGGGGAGUGUAUGUGGGGGUGAAGUUGAAGACACUGUGAGCCGAAAUCACCCCAACUGACACAGAACUUCCGAUCUGUUAUCUCAGUCAUCACAGCCAUCUUUGAGCUAUGAGCUAGAGUCAUUUUCUAGGAGCUGGGUACCUGCCUGAAGAAAGUGAAGCAUAAGCUGGACCCUUUCUCCCAUAAAUGAAACCCAGACCUUUGGUGCCAGAUGAUCAUUGAAGCCAAGGGUUAUACUGUAGCCUGAGCUAUCUUUGAGGAAAUGAGAAAUGCCUGAUCGCAUGGAAGAAAAAUUGAAGUUCAAGAAGUUUAAGAACCUGCCUACAUUAUAAAGCUUGAAGAUGGCAGCUGGAUCUGGGCUCAGGCAUUUCUGGUCCAGGGAUGAACAACUCUCAACCUUUGUUGACUGAGGACUGCUCUUCCUGUUUCCAGAUGAUACCAAAUAAAAUGCUAUCUUCUAAUAAACUUGCCAUCAUCCUCAAAGACAAAUUUCAGAAAAGAAAUAAGAAAGAGUAUUGCAAUUACUGUCUUCCGUCUUAGCCAUGACUCAGACAGGUAAGUGCUUCUUCUGUACUUCAUCAUCUUCAAAUUUAGUAAAGCAGUCAGGUGUGUCUUUUAUGAUGGUAGAAGUUGUUUCCCUUUUAAUUCUACCAGUCACUUUAUCCUCCUUCUCCCUUCAUUUUUCUCAAUCCUCCUACAUUACUAAGCUUUCACGAGGCAUUGUUUGACUGACAUUACAGUCAGCAUUUUUUAUAUAACUAAGAUAUCAUGGAAUAAGACAUAAGCUAAAUUCUCCACUGAUAUAGCUCUUGAACUGAUCUUGAGCGGCAUGCACAAAGAUCAAUAAAUUGCUUUUUUUAAUAAUUUAUUUUUUGGAUAGUCUACUCUUCCAUCCUCAAGAAGAUAAUCUCUGAAAUAGGAGGUUGAAUCACAUGAAACUGCUAAUAUUCAACCAAUCUGACUUAGAAAAAUAUCAAUUUCAGGUGGUUCAAACUAAAUAUAAUUAGGAGAGUUCUUCUCUUCAUAGAACAAUCAAUUCCUUAAAAAAGAAGCAAGACUUGUGGGUUGCAAAACAAAAAGAUUUUUGGAAAAUAGGGCAUUUAGCCUUGGAGAAGAGAGAACAGGCUUGUUCUCAUCCCCAUGCAUAUGCUCCAUUCUGACCAUCAUGGGCCCUCUGAGAAAGCUCUGGGAUGGGAAUGAAGUCUCACUGACGAUAAUGGGUAAGCAAGGCAAUAGGGGCUUUCAGGUGACCAUUCACACUGGAUAGAAAUAUUCUCAGUCUCUUAGCCCACUCAAAGAAAUUCAUCCAUAUAGCCUUUUCUCAAUCCUUGCCACCAAUUUUACUAUUUUGUUUCCUUUAGGUUAUGUUCAACUACUCAGACCUUUAGUCAGUGCCAAGGAAUUUGUGGAGAUGCUGAUCUCAGGCCACCUCCCUUUCCAAAGUAGGCAAAGGGAUGUGCUGCCUGAAAUUCUAUUGUGAGAGGAUUUCUCUUCUUCAACAUCCUUUUGGGCCAUAUCUGAGGUAAGCUAUAUUCUGGUUAUCUACCAAUGUGUAACAGACGACCUCAAACAUAGUGGUAUAAAACAACUAUUUUAUUAUGCUUAUGGAUUCUGUGGGUCUGGAGUUCAGAUGGGGCACAGCAGAGAUGGUACCACAAUGUCUGGGGCCUCAGCUGAAACACUUAAAGGCUGGGAUUGAUUCUAUAGCCAGAGUCUGGAAUUGUUUCAGGGCAUCUUCACUUACGUGUUUUGUGGUUAUUGCUGGCUUUGGUGGGACCUCAUCCAGACUAUCAGCUAGAACAUCUACACAUGGCUCUCCAUGUGGUCUGAGUAAGCUGGGCUUCCUCCCAACAUGAGCAACUAAAGAGAAUCAGGUAGAAGUUGUAUCAUCUUUUAUGACUUAGCCUCAGAGGUCACCUAGCACUACUUCUGCCAUGGUAAUAAGCCUGCCCAUAUUCAAGGGAAGGGAAUAUGGAUUCCCUACCUCUCAAUGAGAGGAGUUUCAAAGGCCCAUCAUAAAGAGAGUAUGUAGGAUGGCCAACAUUGUUGCAGUGUAUAAAUGCUAUCUAUUAUUAUUAGGCAGUCCCAGAGCAUUUUAUUGGAUGCAGAUUAUUGAAAUAAUUAUUCCCAAUAGUUGAGUUUCACUUAUCAAAUCUUCUUGAGCAAUCUGGGAUGAUUUUUGCAAACUUUCAUGUGACUUUAAGCAUUUUUGUUCAUUUUUUCAGUAUUGCAAUAUUUUUCACUCUAUUUAUUUUUAAAAUUUCCAAUUCUUUGAGAGCCUAAUACUGUGUGUAGCAGUAUCAGCUGUCAGCUGGAAAAGUGGCCUUCCAUCAAAAGAAAACUGAGGUUUAUUUUUCAUUGGCCUCAAACUAUAACUAGCUACAAUGAUUAAUGAUGGCCCAAAGCCCAUGAAAAUCAUAUGAGGAUCAAUGCUAGUUUUUCUAUCUUUCUUUAAAAUCUAGGAAGAUAUUUCUGUCUCCUGUCUAGCAGCAAGGCAACCAGAAGAUCGAUCUGCCUUCAGGCCAGCAGUGCAAGCAACCUUAAGCUUGUCCUUGCAUUCACAUUGCGGUUGCACAUGCUUUGUAUUACAGCUUCAAUUCUGACAGCAAACACUGAAUGCUGGCCACGAAAUGUCAAAUACAGCUAAGGAACCUUUAAAUAUAAACUAAAUGUUUAUGCAAAGAUAGUAAAAACAUGUUAAAUUAAAUUAAGUGAUCGGUGAUGGUUGAAAAUUACAAGGAUGAAAAGGCUAAUGAGGAGGUAGACAAAAUUACUUUGAUGAGUGUGUUUAAAUUUUGUGCAAUUAUUCUAGGUUGCAUACAAGUUAUAAAAACAUAAACUGAAUACUGUACAUGUUAAUUAUUACACUAAUUUGCUUAUAGACAAUUCAUUUAGAGCUAGAGGCAAAUAUAAAAGUUUAUUAAAGCAUUUGCAAACCAGCAUCGCAGGAAUAAGUGGAUGGGAAUAAAGUAUAAAUAAGAAAAUAAAAAAGCAGUGUGUGCAUGUGAAGACUCAAACAUGCACACACUGCUGGAGAAGAAAUGGAUACAUAUGCCUUAAAGCAUUUAAAGGACCAUAAACCUACCCUGUGCUGUAAUCUCUAUAAGGGAAGAUGACAUCAUAUUUAUUUUCCUCAAUAUUUUAUUUCCAUUCUAUAAAUAUUUCUUAAUUAUUAAUGCUGUAUCAAAUUAUCAAUAUUUGAAAAAAGAAAACUUGGAAUAUUAAGCUUCAUUUUCAAUCAAUUUGUUUCUUUGCAUAGUUGUGUUCAACCAAAAAUUUUCAACCAAUUUAUUUUCUGUCAGUCAACCUGGAUCCAUGCUAGGGAAAACACUAUCAUAAGCAAAAAGGCCUAUGUGUAAUGUAUUUGAGGAGAAAAUAUGUGAAAAAAUUUCUUAAGAUUUAAAUAAUAGGUCAAGACAAAAAUAGGAAAUCUGUCACAAGGUUCUCUACAAGUAAUUAUUAAAACAAUUUGUAAACUUCCUCUUUUGUUUUUGGCUGUAUCUGAGGCAUACAGAAGUUACCAGGCCUGGAAUUAAACCCGAGCCACAGCAGUGACAAUGCUGAAACCUUAACUGCUAUCCCACCAGGGAAUUCCUAAACAUCCAUUUCUUAAUAAUGUGGUAUAUUAGUAAUAUUAACCAUUCCAACACAAAAUACCAACAAAUAAUUGAUGAAAUAUAAUAAACAUCCUUUUUUAAAUAUAAAACUGAGAUAAGAGGAGACUAAAGGAAUUCCCUUCAAGAACCAAAAAUGGAGAGGAAAACUGAAACAGGAGAAUCGUAAGGGGUGGGAGUUGAAGCUCUUGCUGUUCGAAGUUUGGGGGUGGUGGGCUUUAGUGGUUUCUGUAACCAAGGGGAUUAGGUUUUAACUGCCAAACAUGAAUAAGCUCUUACACAUGAGUCCAGAGAAAAGCAGAAAGAAAAUAAGUGCAUAAAGCUAUGCCACAGUGAAAGAGUGGAACAGAAGCAAAAUCUACCACUGCCAGGAAGACAGCUAUCCUGUCUCCCAGGUCCCACACCUGAAAAGUUGGGAAACAAGUUUUGCACUCAGUUGUAUUUCUGGUGCAAAUACAUACUCCCUUUGUGGUCUGGUACAUCCAACCCAUGAAAUGAACAUAAAAUGUGGUCCCCAUACAGUGACUCCCCUGGGAGAAAUAAAUACCAAUCUUGUCUGUGGAGUCACCCUCAACCCAGACCUCAAAGGAUUUUUGCAGAUGAAGCCUCACUAAACAUGAGUCCACCAGCCAAAAAAAAUUAGAUGUUAGUAGCCAACACAGCCAACCAUUAGAUUAGACCAAGUCCCUUAGAUGAUGAGAUUAUUAUGUACCAUGAAAUAUGUCUAAAUAUAUUUUCUAGAAAAGUAUGAUAAAAUAUCAAGGUACUAUCAAAAACACUAGACAGGCUAAAAAAAACCCCAACUUAUUUGGUUUGAAAUGAAAAAUAUAGUCAUUAAAAUACAAACUCAGUAGAUAGAUUAAACCACAGAUCAGACAGAGCUAAAGUGUGAAUUAGUGAAAUAGAAGACAGAGUUGAAGGAUUUUUUUUUUCCUUUUUGGCCCGACCUGUGGCAUAUGGAAGUUACUGGGUCAAGGAUCAAAUCUGAGCUGCAUCUGUGCAACACUGGAUCCUUAACCUGCUACACCACAGCAGGAACUCCGAGCUGAAGGAUUUA
Molecule: non-coding RNA, 5200 nt
Organism: Sus scrofa (pig)
Lineage: Eukaryota; Metazoa; Chordata; Mammalia; Artiodactyla; Suidae
Source: RefSeq, a predicted model, not a curated record